RNAcentral lists this ribosomal RNA (207 nucleotides) under uncultured bacterium. RNAcentral describes it as "partial 16S ribosomal RNA". It matches the Rfam family "Bacterial small subunit ribosomal RNA", at positions 568 to 774 of the family's 1533-position model. The record is from RNAcentral.
CGUGUAGGCGGCUGAUUAAGUCUGGAGUGAAAGUCCUGCUUUCAAGGUGGGAAUUGCUUUGGAGACUGGUCGGCUUGAGUGCGGAAGAGGUAAGUGGAAUUCCCAGUGUAGCGGUGAAAUGCGUAGAGAUUGGGAGGAACACCAGUGGCGAAGGCGACUUACUGGGCCGUAACUGACGCUGAGGCGCGAAAGUGUGGGGAGCAAACA